RNAcentral lists this ribosomal RNA (457 nucleotides) under uncultured bacterium. Its description in RNAcentral is "bacterial SSU rRNA". It matches the Rfam family "Bacterial small subunit ribosomal RNA", at positions 340 to 786 of the family's 1533-position model. The record is from RNAcentral.
UACGGGAGGCAGCAGUGGGGAAUAUUGCACAAUGGGCGCAAGCCUGAUGCAGCCAUGCCGCGUGUAUGAAGAAGGCCUUCGGGUUGUAAAGUACUUUCAGUCGUGAGGAAGGUGUUAAGGUUAAUAACCUUAGCAAUUGACGUUAGCGACAGAAGAAGCACCGGCUAACUCCGUGCCAGCAGCCGCGGUAAUACGGAGGGUGCGAGCGUUAAUCGGAAUUACUGGGCGUAAAGGGCACGCAGGCGGUUAAUUAAGUUGGAUGUGAAAUCCCCGGGCUUAACCUGGGAAUGGCAUUCAAGACUGGUUAGCUAGAGUCUUGUAGAGGGGGUAGAAUUCCAUGGUGUAGCGGUGAAAUGCGUAGAGAUGUGGAGGAAUACCGGGUGGCGAAGGCGGCCCCUGGGACAAAGACUGACGCUCGAUGUGCGAAAGCGUGGGGAGCAAACGAGGAUUAGAUACC